Molecule: ribosomal RNA, 254 nt
Filed under: uncultured bacterium
Lineage: Bacteria
Description: partial 16S ribosomal RNA
Rfam family: Bacterial small subunit ribosomal RNA
Source: RNAcentral
UACGGGGGGAGCAAGCGUUGUUCGGAUUUACUGGGCGUAAAGGGCGCGUAGGCGGCCACCGCAAGUCGACUGUGAAAUCUCCGGGCUUAACCCGGAAAGGUCAGCCGAUACUGCGGGGCUAGAGUGCAGAAGGGGCAACUGGAAUUCUCGGUGUAGCGGUGAAAUGCGUAGAUAUCGAGAGGAACACCAAUGGCGAAGGCAGCUUGCUGGGACGGUACUGACGCUGAGGCGCGAAAGCGUGGGGAGCAAACAGG